RNAcentral lists this ribosomal RNA (441 nucleotides) under uncultured bacterium. RNAcentral describes it as "partial 16S ribosomal RNA". It matches the Rfam family "Bacterial small subunit ribosomal RNA", at positions 338 to 795 of the family's 1533-position model. The record is from RNAcentral.
CCUACGGGAGGCAGCAGUGAGGAAUAUUGGUCAAUGGCCGUAAGGCUGAACCAGCCAAGUAGCGUGAGUGAAGAAGUAUUUCGGUAUGUAAAGCUCUAUCAGCAGGGAAGAAGCAAGACGGUACCUGACUAAGAAGCCCCGGCUAACUACGUGCCAGCAGCCGCGGUAAUACGUAGGGGGCAAGCGUUAUCCGGAUUUACUGGGUGUAAAGGGAGCGUAGACGGUAUGGCAAGUCUGAAGUGAAAGCCCAGGGCUUAACCCUGGGACUGCUUUGGAAACUGUUAGACUAGAGUGCUGGAGAGGUAAGUGGAAUUCCUAGUGUAGCGGUGAAAUGCGUAGAUAUUAGGAGGAACACCAGUGGCGAAGGCGGCUUACUGGACAGUAACUGACGUUGAGGCUCGAAAGCGUGGGGAGCAAACAGGAUUAGAUACCCGGGUAGUC